RNAcentral lists this ribosomal RNA (502 nucleotides) under uncultured bacterium. RNAcentral describes it as "partial 16S ribosomal RNA". It matches the Rfam family "Bacterial small subunit ribosomal RNA", at positions 29 to 523 of the family's 1533-position model. The record is from RNAcentral.
AUUGAACGCUGGCGGAAUGCUUUACACAUGCAAGUCGAACGGCAGCACAGGUGCUUGCACCUGGUGGCGAGCGGCGAACGGGUGAGUAAUACAUCGGAACGUACCCAGUCGUGGGGGAUAACGUAGCGAAAGUUACGCUAAUACCGCAUACGUCCUGAGGGAGAAAGCGGGGGACCGUAUGGCCUCGCGCGAUUGGAGCGGCCGAUGGCGGAUUAGCUAGUUGGUGGGGUAAAGGCCUACCAAGGCGACGAUCCGUAGCGGGUCUGAGAGGACGGCCCGCCACACUGGAACUGAGACACGGUCCAGACUCCUACGGGAGGCAGCAGUGGGGAAUUUUGGACAAUGGGCGAAAGACUGAUCCAGCCAUUCCGCGUGAGUGAAGAAGGCCUUCGGGUUGUAAAGCUCUUUCGGCAGGGAAGAAACGGCUUGGGAUAAUACCCCGGGCUAAUGACGGUACCUGAAGAAGAAGCACCGGCUAACUACGUGCCAGCCGCCGCCGUAA